This 75-nucleotide transfer RNA is filed under the name Rattus norvegicus (Norway rat). Lineage: Eukaryota; Metazoa; Chordata; Mammalia; Rodentia; Muridae. The record is from RNAcentral.
GGGGUUGGGGAUUUAGCUCAGUUGGUAGAGCGCUUGCCUAGGAAGCGCAAGGCCCUGGGUUCGGUCCCCAGCUCC